UAAGGUAAUCUGAUUAAUACUGCAAGUCGAGCGGACAGAAGGGAGCUUGCUCCCGGAUGUUAGCGGCGGACGGGUGAGUAACACGUGGGUAACCUGCCUGUAAGACUGGGAUAACUCCGGGAAACCGGAGCUAAUACCGGAUAGUUCCUUGAACCGCAUGGUUCAAGGAUGAAAGACGGUUUCGGCUGUCACUUACAGAUGGACCCGCGGCGCAUUAGCUAGUUGGUGGGGUAAUGGCUCACCAAGGCGACGAUGCGUAGCCGACCUGAGAGGGUGAUCGGCCACACUGGGACUGAGACACGGCCCAGACUCCUACGGGAGGCAGCAGUAGGGAAUCUUCCGCAAUGGACGAAAGUCUGACGGAGCAACGCCGCGUGAGUGAUGAAGGUUUUCGGAUCGUAAAGCUCUGUUGUUAGGGAAGAACAAGUGCGAGAGUAACUGCUCGCACCUUGACGGUACCUAACCAGAAAGCCACGGCUAACUACGUGCCAGCAGCCGCGGUAAUACGUAGGUGGCAAGCGUUGUCCGGAAUUAUUGGGCGUAAAGGGCUCGCAGGCGGUUUCUUAAGUCUGAUGUGAAAGCCCCCGGCUCAACCGGGGAGGGUCAUUGGAAACUGGGAAACUUGAGUGCAGAAGAGGAGAGUGGAAUUCCACGUGUAGCGGUGAAAUGCGUAGAGAUGUGGAGGAACACCAGUGGCGAAGGCGACUCUCUGGUCUGUAACUGACGCUGAGGAGCGAAAGCGUGGGGAGCGAACAGGAUUAGAUACCCUGGGUAGUCCACGCCGUAACGAUGAGUGCUAAGUGUUAGGGGGUUUCCCGCCCCUUAG
Molecule: ribosomal RNA, 826 nt
Filed under: Bacillus pumilus
Lineage: Bacteria; Bacillati; Bacillota; Bacilli; Caryophanales; Bacillaceae
Description: bacterial SSU rRNA
Rfam family: Bacterial small subunit ribosomal RNA
Source: RNAcentral